UGAAGGCCUUCGGGUUGUAAACCGCYGUCARARRRGMGGAAAUGCUAKGGGGUUCUCUSCAUAGUUUGACCUAAUCYCARARGAAGUGCAGGCUAAGUUCGUGCCAGCAGCCGCGGUAAUACGAACUGSACAAACGUUWUUCGGAAUCACUGGGCUUAAAGAGUCCGUAGGCGGCCUGGAAGGUGAGGUGUGAAAUCCCACAGCCCAACUGUGGAACUGCACUUCAAACCGUCAGGCUCGAGGGAGACAGGGGUGAGCGGAACUGAUGGUGGAGCGGUGAAAUGCGUUGAUAUCAUCAGGAACACCGGUGGCGAAGGCGGCUCACUGGGUCUCUUCUGACGCUGAGGGACRAAAGCUAGGGGAGCGAACGGGAUUAGAUACCCCGGUAGUCCUAGCUGUAAACGAUGAGCACUAGAUCGAAGAGACUUCCACAUCUUUUCGGUCGUAGCGAAAGCGUUAAGUGCUCCGCCUGGGGAGUAUGGUCSCAAGGCUGAAACUCAAAGGAAUUGACKGGRGCUCACACAAGCGGUGGAGGAUGUGGYUUAMUUCGAGGCUACGCRAAGAACCUUAUCCGASUCUUGAYAUGCUUGGGAACACCCUGKAAACAGGGUGGUGCCUUUCGGGGAACCCUUGCWCAGGUGCUGCAUGGCUGUCGKCAGCUCGUGUCGUGAGAUGUCGGGUUAAGUMCCKUMACKAGCGAAACCCUUGUCUUCAGUUGCY
This 720-nucleotide ribosomal RNA is filed under the name uncultured bacterium. RNAcentral's name for it is "partial 16S ribosomal RNA". It matches the Rfam family "Bacterial small subunit ribosomal RNA", at positions 409 to 1119 of the family's 1533-position model. The record is from RNAcentral.